AACGAACGCUGGCGGCAUGCCUAACACAUGCAAGUCGAACGAGACCUUCGGGUCUAGUGGCGCACGGGUGCGUAACGCGUGGGAACCUGCCCUUAGGUUCGGAAUAACUCCCCGAAAGGGGUGCUAAUACCGGAUAAUGUCUUCGGACCAAAGAUUUAUCGCCUUUGGAUGGGCCCGCGUUGGAUUAUCUAGUUGGUAUGGUAAAAGCCUACCAAGGCGACGAUCCAUAGCUGGUCUGAGAGGAUGAUCAGCCACACUGGGACUGAGACACGGACCAGACUCCUACGGGAGGCAGCAGGGGGGAAUAUUGGACAAUGGGCGAAAGCCUGAUCCCGCAAUGCCGCGUGAGGGAAUAAGGCCUUAGGGUUGUAAAACUCUUUUAACCGGGAUGAUAAUGACAGUACCGGGAGAAUAAGCUCCGGCUAACUCCGUG
This 433-nucleotide ribosomal RNA is filed under the name uncultured bacterium. RNAcentral's name for it is "partial 16S ribosomal RNA". It matches the Rfam family "Bacterial small subunit ribosomal RNA", at positions 29 to 507 of the family's 1533-position model. The record is from RNAcentral.